GAUGAACGCUGGCGGCGUGCCUAAUACAUGCAAGUCGAGCGAACGGACGAGAAGCUUGCUUUUCUGAUGUUAGCGGCGGACGGGUGAGUAACACGUGGAUAACCUACCUAUAAGACUGGGAUAACUUCGGGAAACCGUGGCUAAUACCGGAUAAUAUUUUGAACCGCAUGGUUCAAAAGUGAAAGACGGUCUUGCUGUCACUUAUAGAUGGAUCCGCGCUGCAUUAGCUAGUUGGUAAGGUAACGGCUUACCAAGGCAACGAUGCAUAGCCGACCUGAGAGGGUGAUCGGCCACACUGGAACUGAGACACGGUCCAGACUCCUACGGGAGGCAGCAGUAGGGAAUCUUCCGCAAUGGGCGAAAGCCUGACGGAGCAACGCCGCGUGAGUGAUGAAGGUCUUCGGAUCGUAAAACUCUGUUAUUAGGGAAGAACAUAUGUGUAAGUAACUGUGCACAUCUUGACGGUACCUAAUCAGAAAGCCACGGCUAACUACGUG
RNAcentral lists this ribosomal RNA (497 nucleotides) under uncultured bacterium. RNAcentral's name for it is "partial 16S ribosomal RNA". It matches the Rfam family "Bacterial small subunit ribosomal RNA", at positions 28 to 507 of the family's 1533-position model. The record is from RNAcentral.